GACGAACGCUGGCGGCGUGCUUAACACAUGCAAGUCGAACGGAAAGGCUCCAGCUUGCUGGAGUACUCGAGUGGCGAACGGGUGAGUAACACGUGGGUAAUCUGCCCUGCACUCUGGGAUAAGCCUGGGAAACUGGGUCUAAUACUGGAUAUGACCUUUCUCCUUAUGGGGUUUGGUGGAAAGUUUUUCGGUGUAGGAUGAGCCCGCGGCCUAUCAGCUUGUUGGUGGGGUGAUGGCCUACCAAGGCGACGACGGGUAGCCGGCCUGGGAGGGUGAUUGGCCACAUUGGGACUGAGAUACGGCCCAGACUCCUACGGGAGGCAGCAGUGGGGAAUAUUGCACAAUGGGCGGAAGCCUGAUGCAGCGACGCCGCGUGAGGGAUGACGGCCUUCGGGUUGUAAACCUCUUUCAGCAGGGACGAAGCGUAAGUGACGGUACCUGCAGAAGAAGCACCGGCUAACUAUGUG
Molecule: ribosomal RNA, 467 nt
Filed under: uncultured bacterium
Lineage: Bacteria
Description: partial 16S ribosomal RNA
Rfam family: Bacterial small subunit ribosomal RNA
Source: RNAcentral